RNAcentral lists this ribosomal RNA (495 nucleotides) under uncultured bacterium. RNAcentral describes it as "partial 16S ribosomal RNA". It matches the Rfam family "Bacterial small subunit ribosomal RNA", at positions 28 to 507 of the family's 1533-position model. The record is from RNAcentral.
GACGAACGCUGGCGGCGUGCCUAAUACAUGCAAGUAGAACGCUGAAGGAGGAGCUUGCUUCUCUGGAUGAGUUGCGAACGGGUGAGUAACGCGUAGGUAACCUGCCUGGUAGCGGGGGAUAACUAUUGGAAACGAUAGCUAAUACCGCAUAAUAGUAGAUGUUGCAUGACAUUUGCUUAAAAGGUGCAAUUGCAUCACUACCAGAUGGACCUGCGUUGUAUUAGCUAGUUGGUGGGGUAACGGCUCACCAAGGCGACGAUAUAUAGCCGACCUGAGAGGGUGAUCGGCCACACUGGGACUGAGACACGGCCCAGACUCCUACGGGAGGCAGCAGUAGGGAAUCUUCGGCAAUAGACGGAAGUCUGACCGAGCAACGCCGCGUGAGUGAAGAAGGUUUUCGGAUCGUAAAGCUCUGUUGUAAGAGAAGAACGAGUGUGAGAGUGGAAAGUUCACACUGUGACGGCAUCUUACCAGAAAGGGACGGCUAACUACGUG